This is a long non-coding RNA of Rhododendron vialii, 1556 nucleotides long. RefSeq lists it as uncharacterized. The transcript is spliced from 2 exons. NCBI's taxonomy places the organism in Eukaryota, Viridiplantae, Streptophyta, Magnoliopsida, Ericales, Ericaceae. The record is from RefSeq and is a predicted model, not a curated record.
AGAGAGAGGCGGCAGAAGAGAAGGAAGAGGAGACCGGAAACUCUGAUCUGUUCUUUACGAAAUUAUUCAAGGUACUUAGAAAGCUUUUAAAUUUAUGGUAUUUUUAUUGAAGGUUUAUUAGUGCAUCUAUUGUAUUGUGUUAAAUUUUCAGAAUUUUCUGAGAGGUAUAGAAAAAGAUAAAAAUCAUAAACCUAACUGUGGUCAGAAUCCUAUUUUUUAGCAGACAGCUUACAGAGCUGCUUCUUUUAUCAAUUUUUUUAUAGUUAAGUGAUCCUCUUGAUUAUGGGUCCUUAUAAUUUUGAAAUAUUGAUAAGUUGGUGAUGUUUUGGCGUUGAAAUUACUAAAAAGUAUUAAGUAUUCGAUUUUUAAUGAAUUUUUAAACACAGACUAUUCUGCUGGAAAUUGUGCUUCGCUGCACAGAAUUUCUGAGUUUGGGGGUAAUUUUGACUAGGUUCCUUUAUUGUGAAAAAUCUAGGAAAAAGGGAUGAACUUUGAUGAGUGAUAAUGGUGUGUACCAAAUUUGGGGUUUAUUAGAUGCAUAUUCUAAGUUUGGCGGAUUUUACAAGUUGGUGUGUCCCUACUGAGUUUUGUAUUUGCUGCACUGACACAUUUUGGGAAAAUUGUCAUAUCUUUUAGCUCGGGUAUCGGGUUAGCGCACGGGUUGUUGAUUCUGAAACUAGACUCGUAUGUCUUUCGGAAUAUGUGAAGAUUGUGGCUUAAUUUGUACUAGGUUAAGUCAGUUUUUGAUUUAAAGUUGAUAGACGUGCAGAAUCUGUGAUAUUGGACAGAUUUUUGUGUAACUUUGGACGAGCAUAACUUUAUCGUCCGGACUUCAUUUUUAACAAAUUUUAUAUCAAAAUUCAUGUUUCGGAGGUGAAAUUUCUAAUGGUAGUAGUUUCAUGAUUUGGUUUUAACCCUAUAAGAAGUCAUAGGCAGAAUACGACAGGCUGGUCGUAGAUUUCAAACCAAAUGUAGGGGUUAUGUGGUGUUUGAGUGUUACGCUUGUUUAGGGACACUUCUAAACCUUUGAGAUGGACAUGCUAGUAUGCCUUAAGCAUCUUUAAUCUAUUAUUGGUGUUAUAGAUUGUUGUUAGGAGUUAGUUUUGACGUUUAAACGUUCAAUAAAACUGAAAUGGUUAACUUGUGGUUAAGUGUCAAGCCAGUCAGUUGGGAGGGGCCGAAACCGUAAGUUUGGCGUACCUCGGUCGAUACAAAGGUAGCAGGUUGCUUAGAAUGGGUCCACUACCGGUCGUUGUGUUGAGGCGUUUUGCUAGCGUCAGGUGGGGUUUUGGUUACGUUGUUAUGGAGUGCUUUAGCUAGUGCAGAACUUAAUUUGUAUGGAGUUGUAGCUAAGGAUAGUUAAAGAUUUUAAAUUGUAUAGGUCGUAAUUAAGUUUGGUCGAUGGCUGAUGUUCUAUUUGAGGUUAGCCUUGGACGUUGUGGAUAGUCGAGUUUGUUGUAGGUGGUUAAUGAAGAAGUUGAUUUAUUCAAGUUGUAAGUAAGUCGUCGGUGGAUGUGUUGAAGUAUAGAAUUUUUAAAGUACUAUAAUGCAGAUGU